Molecule: ribosomal RNA, 119 nt
Filed under: Schistocephalus solidus
Lineage: Eukaryota; Metazoa; Platyhelminthes; Cestoda; Diphyllobothriidea; Diphyllobothriidae
Source: RNAcentral
GUCAGCGACCAUACCAGGUAGAAAGCACUGGUUCUCGUCUGAUCACCAAAGUUAAGCUACAUUGGGCGUGGUUAGUACGUGCAUGGGUAACCGGCUGACAAUACCGGAUGCAGCUGACA